GGCACAGUCAGUCAGUCAGUGUCAAUCUGCAAGUGUCAGCUCAGAACGUGCCAAGAAAACCUAAUCAGCUGCCUGCAUUCCUCAGAAGCUGUUGCUGUCUCCGAGCUCAUAAUGACACAUUUAAGAGCAAAGCCAUGCUGUGAAGCCUUAUUAAAAUCUUUAUAAAUGCAGAUGACAAGUAAAGAGACGGUUUGAUUUAUCAGACAGCUGAAACACUCUGAGCAAUGGGUAUUUACUUAAACAGAUAACAUUUAAUGAAAGACGCGUAUGGAAAUAUUAAUGUGAUUUAUGAGGACUUGGAUAUCGUUUUUUGUAUAUCUGGCCAUCAUUCAUAUUAGAAAUGGACUCAUGAAGAUUUUCAGAUGAGAUGUUUCGAGUUCUUGGCAGGCUGGGUUUUCUUGGAUACUCUUUGAAACUGUUUGGAGUUGAAAACCUGGAUUUCCUGCUUGGCCUAGGAGGUGGCAAGCUGCCCAAGGACCCGAUCAUCCCAUUUACUAGAGAAGGAAGCCACCUAUCUCCCUCACAGAUGAGAGCCAGGCAGCCCCCACGUCCAGUGUGAAGUCCGUUUUCUGCAUGAAAGUGGUGCAAAUGAAGCUUCUAAACGUGGUAGUGAAAAGGACUGGCUUGUUCUGUUGGUGCUGUCAGGGUCCGUGGGAGCAGCUGUGGGAGGCAUCAUCAGGACAGUUCGUCGGCUACUCUAUCGAGCGGCGCUACAUGCCUCACACCUGAGCCUGAUUUCACGACUAACCACGGGGAGACUAUUUAAGCCAACAUGACCGGCUACUUGUCGCCAGUUCGUUCAGUCACCCACUGUGGCCUUGGUGUCAUCACGUUCUGGAUUCUCUGCAGCCAUUCACCAUUGCCGUUUACUCGUUAAGGAAAUCAUCCAAUAUCUAAAAGCCACUAAAGGCUCAACCUGCUUCUGUCGACACAAGCAAAGGGCACAAGCAGUUCUUUGAAAAGAAGGACUUGUCCCCAUUUAUAGAAAGAAAAAAGAUUUUGGACCUGUACCAAGCUACCUGAGUAAAUGAAAUGAAGAGAAAGAAAGGGUGACGCAGGGCGUGGCUGAGGGCGAGGCUAACAUUAUUCAGCCACUGCCAGAGGAGGAGAAAGAAAUGAUUCUCCAGGACCUAAAGGAGAUUAAUUGAUUUACACUUUGAGUAUCAAUCCCUCCCUUUUUUCAUAUCUCCUUCUCAGCACUGUAAAAACAAUUAUAAAAAGUGGCUCGAAGAGGCAAUGAGUCAGGUUGAGAAAGACAUUGCCCUCUUUGAAGAACAUAAACAUAUCUAUGUAGGCAGGAAAAUUGCACCUGACCAAGAUGAGAAAAUCCAGUCCAUUUCAAAGAUCGUUAGACGAAUGUACGAAAAACCCAACUACCAGACCUUUUCACAUGAUUCGUGUCCCACCGAGACCCAGAAAGGCAAACCAACCUUCUCCAGCCCAACCAGCUGUAAUUACACAACAUGGUCUCGUCCCUCUGCCGCCCGAUUGUAAAAAAGUUGAAUAUACACCUCGAGCACCUUUAAGAACUCCAAGGAAACCGAAUGUCACACGCACCAAUCAAUUGCAUCUGAUCUCCCUUCCACCCAUUUCCAUCAAAAAGCUUUAGUGCUGUACCUUUAGACUAGUUUUUUUCCCACCUCACCCCAAACCGGUCUUGACAGAAGCCGCCCCUACCUGAGCCUGUUUCUGUCGUCUGUUAGAUGACAACAGUCACAGCGGACUCUGCUGCCACCUAUUACACUGAAAGUACAUCAGAUGCCCCCAAGGCCAAUUUAUGUUUAAGAAAAAAAAAUCACAGCAGAAAAGACAGCAUGCGAGACAUCUGAUAUGUUUUAUUGCUUUUUAAAAAUCAUUUAAUCUGGAACAAAUAAAAAAA
Molecule: long non-coding RNA, 1879 nt
Organism: Oreochromis niloticus (Nile tilapia)
Lineage: Eukaryota; Metazoa; Chordata; Actinopteri; Cichliformes; Cichlidae
Exons: 5
Source: RefSeq, a predicted model, not a curated record